GACGAACGCUGGCGGCGUGCUUAACACAUGCAAGUCGAACGGAAAGACCCUGCUUUUGUGGGGUGCUCGAGUGGCGAACGGGUGAGUAACACGUGAGUAACCUGCCCUUGACUUUGGGAUAACUUCAGGAAACUGGGGCUAAUACCGGAUAGGAGCUCCUGCUGCAUGGUGGGGGUUGGAAAGUUUCGGCGGUUGGGGAUGGACUCGCGGCUUAUCAGCUUGUUGGUGGGGUAGUGGCUUACCAAGGCUUGGACGGGUAGCCGGCCUGGGAGGGUGGCCGGCCACAUUGGGACUGAGAUACGGCCCAGACUCCUACGGUAGGCAGCAGUGGGGAAUAUUGCACAAUGGGCGGAAGCCUGAUGCAGCAACGCCGCGUGCGGGAUGACGGCCUUCGGGUUGUAAACCGCUUUCGCCUGUGACGAAGCGUGAGUGACGGUAAUGGGUAAAGAAGCACCGGCUAACUACGUG
Molecule: ribosomal RNA, 468 nt
Filed under: uncultured bacterium
Lineage: Bacteria
Description: partial 16S ribosomal RNA
Rfam family: Bacterial small subunit ribosomal RNA
Source: RNAcentral